This 74-nucleotide transfer RNA is filed under the name Muribaculaceae bacterium. RNAcentral describes it as "tRNA-His". It matches the Rfam family "tRNA". From Rfam's summary of the family: Transfer RNA (tRNA) molecules are approximately 80 nucleotides in length. Their secondary structure includes four short double-helical elements and three loops (D, anti-codon, and T loops). Lineage: Bacteria; Pseudomonadati; Bacteroidota; Bacteroidia; Bacteroidales; Muribaculaceae. The record is from RNAcentral.
GUGAAAUUAGUUCAGCUGGUUAGAAUGUCGGAUUGUGGUUCCGAAGGUCGUGGGUUCGAAUCCCACAUUUCACC